CCUACGGGUGGCAGCAGUCGAGAAUCUUUCACAAUGGGGGAAACCCUGAUGGUGCGAAGCCGCGUGGGGGAAUGCAGGUCUUCGGAUUGUAAACCCCUGUCAUGAGGGAGCAAAUUAAAAAGAUAGUACCACAAGAGGAAGAGACGGCUAACACUGUGCCAGCAGCCGCGGUAAUACAGAGGUGUCAAGCGUUGUUCGGAAUCACUGGGCGUAAAGCGUGCGUAGGCUGUUUCGUAAGUCGGGUGUGAAAGGCGCGGGCUCAACCCUCGGACGGCACAUGAUACUGCGAGACUAGAGUAAUGUAGAGGUAAGCGGAAUUCUCGGUGUAGCGGUGAAAUGCGUAGAUAUCGAGAAGAACACUGGUGGCGAAGGCAGGUUCCUGGACAUUAACUGACGCUGAUGCACGAAGGCCAGGGGAGCGAAAAGGAUUAGAUACCCUUGUAGUC
Molecule: ribosomal RNA, 446 nt
Filed under: uncultured bacterium
Lineage: Bacteria
Description: partial 16S ribosomal RNA
Rfam family: Bacterial small subunit ribosomal RNA
Source: RNAcentral